RNAcentral lists this ribosomal RNA (1560 nucleotides) under Amicula sp. isolate GU52X-4 cfCalB7. Its description in RNAcentral is "small subunit ribosomal RNA". It matches the Rfam family "Bacterial small subunit ribosomal RNA". The record is from RNAcentral. Lineage: Eukaryota; Bacillariophyta; Bacillariophyceae; Diploneidales; Diploneidaceae.
AAAAUUAUGAGUUUGAUCCUGGCUCAGAAUAAACGCUAGUAGUAUGCUUAACACAUGCAAGUCUAAUGGAAAUUUUUUUUCAUGGCGUACGGGUGAGGAGUGUGCAAAAUGCUACCUUUUAGUUUAGAAUAAAAAUACUCAUUUAGAGUAUUAAAUUCUAAAUAACUAAAAAAAAAUUUUUAUUAAAGGUUAUAUUUUUUAAUAUAUUCUGCUAAAAGAUGGGUUUGUGCAAGAUUAGGUAGUUGGUAAAUUUAACAGCUUACCAAGCCUUCGAUCUUUAGUUGGUCUUAGAGGAUGUCCAACCACACUGGAAUUGAAAUAAGGUCCAGGCUGAUUUUCGGCCAGCAGUGAGGAAUAUUGUACAAUGAACGAAAGUUUGAUACAGCAAUACUAAAUGAAUGAUAAAUAAGAUGUGUUCAUUUUAUUGACGGCUUUUUUUAAGGUUGUAAAAUUCUUUUGUUAAGAAUGAUAAUGACAUUACUUAAAGAAGUUUUUAGUCCUGGCUAAUACUCGUGCCAGCAGCCGCGGUGAUACGGGAAGGGCAAGCGUUAUUCAUCAUGAUUGGGCGUAAAGAGUCCGUAGACUGUAAAGUAAGUUAUUUGUUAAAUAUUUAAGUAUAACUUAAACAAUGCUUUUAAUACUGCUUUACUUGAGUUUUAUACAGAAAAAUAAAAUUUUAUACGUAAGGGUGAAAUCUAAAAAUAUAUAAAGGAAUACCAUUAGCGAAGGCAAUUUUUUAGUAAAAACUGACGUUGAGGGACGAAAGUUUGGGUAUCAAAUCGGAUUAGAGACCCGAGUAGUCCAUACUGUAAAUUCUGAGUGCUGUAAUUUAAUAUAAGUAAUUCUAGUAUAUGCUUAUUUAGAUUUUUAAGCUAACGCCAUAAGCACUCCGCCUGAAGAGUACGAUUGCAAGAUUGGAAUUCAAAGGAAUUGACGGGGGCUAGGAGCUAGUGGUGGAGCAUGUGGUUUAAUGCGAUAACCCGCGCAAAACCUUACCAAUUUUUGACAUAAAAAUUUAAAUAUAUUUUACCUAAUAAUAGUAAAUUAUAUUAAAAAUUUUUACAGGUGUUGCACGACUGUCGUCAGUUCGUGUUGUGAAAUGUCUGGUUAAGUUCUUUAACGAGUGUAACUCUUAUUUUUAAUUUUUAUUAAUUUAAAAAAUAAAAUUAUUUUUUAAAUAAUUUUAGAAAAACUGUCAAUGAUAAAUUGAAGAAGGGUGAGAAUUAAGCCAAGUCAAUGUGACCCUUAUAAAUUGGGCUACACAUGUGCUACAAUGAAAAUUACAAAAAGUUAUAAAAAUUUGAUUUUUAAUUAAUCUAUAAAAAUUUUCCCAGUACGGAUUGUUUGCUGAAACUCGCAAAUAUGAAGAUGGAAUCACUAGUAAUCGCAAAUCAUCACGUUGCGGUGAAACUUUUAUCUAGCCUUGUACACACCGCCCGUCACAUGCAGAGAGUCAGUUUUAUUUGAAAACUUAAAAUAAAGUUCAUUGAAAAAUUGGUGAUUUGGAUGAAGUCGUAACAAGGUAGCUGUACGGGAACGUGUAGCUGGAAAAAAUGAAAA